AGACUAUUGAAAUAGGGAGAAUUCUGUGACCAUAAAAUUCUGCAAGUGUCUUAAGAGUUAGGAAAAAAGAGUUUCUCUUUUAUAAGGAAGAGUAAACAAGACUAAAAAACUGGCUGUGGGAAGCUGAUUAGAAGGGUGGGGUGUUCAGAUGGUGGAUUAGAGAGUGUUUACCCUGAGAGCAGCCUAUUGUCAGAAGGCCUGUAAAGGAGGAGUUGUAUGCUGGCUCAGCCUGAGAGUUCGUGGAGGUCCCAGGACCUGGAGGAAGGAGAUAAACUUAACCAAAGUUGAGCUAAAACACAUUUUGUUCCAGCUAAUUAGGGAGAGACCAGCAGUUCAGCUAAUUAUGAGGCAAAGAAUGGGAAUUUGGAAACUCUGUUGGCCUUUGCCAUAGGAAAACAAGGAGAGCAUCUGUGAGUCCUAGAGUCUAGCUCUGUCAUCCAGGCUGGAGUGUACUGGUGUGAUCUCGGCUCACUGCAACAUCCUCCUCCCGGGUUCAAGAGAUUCUCCUGCUUCAGCCUCCCAAGUAGCUGGGACUACUGGCGCAUGCCACCACGACUGGCUAAUUUUUGUAUUUUUUAGUAGAGAUGGGGUUUCACCAUCUUGGCCAGGCUGGUCUCGAACUCCUGACCUCAGGUGAUCCACCCGUCUCGGCCUCCUAAAGUGCUGGCAUUACAGGCGUGAGCCACCGUGCCCAGCCACCAGCAGUAAAUUUUUGAGGAACUUAAACUACCAGCCUUAUCUUGGUAGAUACCCCAUCGUCUCAAUCUUGAUGAGCCACAGGCAUUUUGUUGUUACUGUUAUUUGAAUUUUUAUAAUCCAAGCCAUUAAAGAGACAAGUCUGGUCAGCUUAUUAUAUGGUAUCAACAAUUGGCUCAAAUGGGAAGAGCAGUUGUUGUAGACUGAAUUGUGUCUCCCCCAAAUCCAUAUGUUGAAACUCUAACACCCAAUAUGACUGGAUUUGGAGAUCGUUCCUUUAAAGAGAUGAUUAAAGUUAAAUAGGGUCAUAAGGAUGGGUUCUUAAUCUGAUAGGACUAGUGUCCUUAUAAUAAGAGGAAGAAACAUCAGGGAUGGACACACACACAGAGAAAAGAUCACAUGAGGACACAGCAAGAAGGAAACCAUCUGCAAGUCAGAAGGAGGCCUCAGGAGGAACCAAUCCUGCUGUCAUUUUGGACAGCUGAUCUUGGACUUUCAGCUUCCAGAACUGUGAGAAAAUAAAUUUAUCUUGCUCCAGAAACACAGACUGUAGUAUUUUGUUAAUGCAACUCGAACAGACUAAUAUGGCAGUCAAGGAAAAAAGCUGCGAUUGUAUAUUAUUGAUUGCAAUUAUUAAUUGUGAAAUUAUCACAAUUAAAUGCGUAUGAAAUUUACCUCUGAAUGAUUAAUCGCAACUAGAUAAUUAGGAAGAAACCAACAUUUACAUGUACCAUAAGUAUAACAUUUGCAAUUGUUUUACUACAUGGAACAUUUACAUAAUAUUUUAAAAAGUAAAUAUUGUUGAUUUAAGAUGUUUAUAGAUAUAUGAUUUUUAAAAAAACUGAAACAUCUGUGCCUGCGCCAUCAUCAUACUAUAAUCAGAGAGUAAUCAAAACUAGUUUCAGCACUUUGAAGAAAGGAUACUUGAAUUCCUGGAAAUUAAGAAUGCCUGCUAUGGUAUGAGAACUGCUGUUUGGGUUAAAUAUUUUCCAUUUAUGUAGAGAGAGAACCACUCACUUGAGUAUGUAGAACUGCACCACAAUUUGUAGCGUGAAUUUUAAUUAGUAGGCAAAGAUGCAG
This 1776-nucleotide long non-coding RNA is filed under the name Homo sapiens (human). Its description in RNAcentral is "HSALNT0070737". Lineage: Eukaryota; Metazoa; Chordata; Mammalia; Primates; Hominidae. The record is from RNAcentral.